RNAcentral lists this ribosomal RNA (367 nucleotides) under uncultured bacterium. Its description in RNAcentral is "bacterial SSU rRNA". It matches the Rfam family "Bacterial small subunit ribosomal RNA", at positions 527 to 896 of the family's 1533-position model. The record is from RNAcentral.
GAAGGUGGCAAGCGUUAUUCGGAUUUACUGGGCGUACAGGGAGCGUAGGCGGUUUGGUAAGCCCUCUGUGAAAUCUCCAGGCUUAACCUGGAAAAGUCGGAGGGGACUGCUGGGCUAGAGGACGGGAGAGGAGCGCGGAAUUCCCGGUGUAGCGGUGAAAUGCGUAGAGAUCGGGAGGAAGGCCGGUGGCGAAGGCGGCGCUCUGGAACGUUUCUGACGCUGAGGCUCGAAAGCGUGGGGAGCAAACAGGAUUAGAUACCCUGGUAGUCCACGCCUUAAACUAUGAAUACUAAGUGUCGGCAGUUUACUGCCGGUGCCGCAGCUAACGCAUUAAGUAUUCCGCCUGGGAAGUACGGCCGCAAGGUUG